ACUGCUCAGUAACACGUGGAUAACCUGCCCUUGGGACCGGCAUAACCCCGGGAAACUGGGGAUAAUUCCGGAUAANGCAUAUGUGCUGGAAUGCUUUAUGCGUAAAAUGGAUUCGUCCGCCCAAGGAUGGGUCUGCGGCCUAUCAGGUAGUAGUGGGUGUAAUGUACCUACUAGCCGACAACGGGUACGGGUUGUGAGAGCAAGAGCCCGGAGAUGGAUUCUGAGACAUGAAUCCAGGCCCUACGGGGCGCAGCAGGCGCGAAAACUUUACAAUGCGGGAAACCGUGAUAAGGGGACACCGAGUGUCAGCAUCAUAUGCUGGCUGUCCAGGUGUGUAAAAUACACCUGUUAGUAAGGGCCGGGCAAGACCGGUGCCAGCCGCCGCGGUAACACCGGCGGCCCGAGUGGUGAUCGUGAUUAUUGGGUCUAAAGGGUCCGUAGCCGGUUUGGUCAGUCCUCCGGGAAAUCUGACGGCUCAACCGUUAGGCUUUCGGGGGAUACUGCCAGGCUUGGAACCGGGAGAGGUAAGAGGUACUACAGGGGUAGGAGUGAAAUCUUGUAAUCCCUGUGAGACCACCUGUGGCGAAGGCGUCUUACCAGAACGGGUUCGACGGUGAGGGACGAAAGCUGGGGGCACGAACCGGAUUAGAUACCCGGGUAGUCCCAGCCGUAAACGAUGCUCGCUAGGUGUCAGGCAUGGCGCGACCGUGUCUGGUGCCGCAGGGAAGCCGUGAAGCGAGCCACCUGGGAAGUACGGCCGCAAGGCUG
Molecule: ribosomal RNA, 768 nt
Filed under: uncultured archaeon
Lineage: Archaea
Description: bacterial SSU rRNA
Rfam family: Archaeal small subunit ribosomal RNA
Source: RNAcentral